RNAcentral lists this ribosomal RNA (768 nucleotides) under Escherichia coli. RNAcentral's name for it is "partial 23S ribosomal RNA". It matches the Rfam family "Bacterial large subunit ribosomal RNA", at positions 2180 to 2925 of the family's 2925-position model. Lineage: Bacteria; Pseudomonadati; Pseudomonadota; Gammaproteobacteria; Enterobacterales; Enterobacteriaceae. The record is from RNAcentral.
AUGGAGCCGACCUUGAAAUACCACCCUUUAAUGUUUGAUGUUCUAACGUUGACCCGUGAUCCGGGUUGCGGACAGUGUCUGGUGGGUAGUUUGACUGGGGCGGUCUCCUCCUAAAGAGUAACGGAGGAGCACGAAGGUUGGCUAAUCCUGGUCGGACAUCAGGAGGUUAGUGCAAUGGCAUAAGCCAGCUUGACUGCGAGCGUGACGGCGCGAGCAGGUGCGAAAGCAGGUCAUAGUGAUCCGGUGGUUCUGAAUGGAAGGGCCAUCGCUCAACGGAUAAAAGGUACUCCGGGGAUAACAGGCUGAUACCGCCCAAGAGUUCAUAUCGACGGCGGUGUUUGGCACCUCGAUGUCGGCUCAUCACAUCCUGGGGCUGAAGUAGGUCCCAAGGGUAUGGCUGUUCGCCAUUUAAAGUGGUACGCGAGCUGGGUUUAGAACGUCGUGAGACAGUUCGGUCCCUAUCUGCCGUGGGCGCUGGAGAACUGAGGGGGGCUGCUCCUAGUACGAGAGGACCGGAGUGGACGCAUCACUGGUGUUCGGGUUGUCAUGCCAAUGGCACUGCCCGGUAGCUAAAUGCGGAAGAGAUAAGUGCUGAAAGCAUCUAAGCACGAAACUUGCCCCGAGAUGAGUUCUCCCUGACCCUUUAAGGGUCCUGAAGGAACGUUGAAGACGACGACGUUGAUAGGCCGGGUGUGUAAGCGCAGCGAUGCGUUGAGCUAACCGGUACUAAUGAGCCGUGAGGCUUAACCUUACAACGCCGAAGCUGUU